AGCCACCCAGGCGCCCCUAGAGAUGUCUUUUGUUCAUUCUCAUAGAGACUUGGAGUGAUCAGGUCCAGACAGGAGACACACAUUUUCGCGCAGCCAGCGUGUGAUGGUAGUUCAAGCUGGACGAGACUAUGAAGAAAUGGGAACAGAUCCCUGCCAUCAUGACUGCCUCGUGCCCUGUCUCUUCUCUCCUUCCUCUUGAGUCCACCCUCCUCCAGGCUCCUGGAAUUUGCUGGACACCUGACAAAGCCUGGGAGGCAGGUUGGGAGAAUUUCAGGAGAUUAAAUGUGAUGGGAUGCGGGAAGGCACCAGGCAUGGCCUGAGGCGGCGAAGGAAUUCCCUCCCGAGGGUCCCAGCCUGGACACCAGAACCCUUUUCUCACUCUCACUGACAUAGCCUGGGCCCGCUUUCUUGGGGGUCUCCCCAUGGCUGUUCUUCUCACAGCACCGAGGCCCCUCGCUGCCACCAGCUCCCCCAUAAGACCGUGGGCUUCCUGUAACUGGGGGCUGUGCCUCCCUCUUCCACCACCGUCGUGGUUGCCAACACCAUUCGGGGAAUAAACCUCAACUCACUCUCUGAGAUACAGAUUUCCCCGGGUGUCCUGUGUUUUUUGUUUUCUCCUCUCCCCCUGGGUGUCCCAUAGUUUUGUGCACUAAAUUUGGCAACACUAACUAACUGCCGUACCCCUGGGGCCCAGCUCAGCGUCUGACAUGGCUUUCGUGCUCAGUAAAUGUUAGCUGAAGGAAUCAUGGUGGCAGUGACGGUGGGGGGCACAGGUGUUGUGGGACACAAAGGACAGGCAGCAGGCUCCCUAGAGGUGAUACCUGAGUCCUGGCAGAUGGCGCCAGUAGGUCACGGCCUCAGCCAGCUCCUCCACAGAGGUGCCUCCUAUAAUGGGCUUGAAUAGUGCCCCAGAAG
Molecule: long non-coding RNA, 915 nt
Filed under: Mustela putorius furo (domestic ferret)
Lineage: Eukaryota; Metazoa; Chordata; Mammalia; Carnivora; Mustelidae
Description: lncRNA (ENSMPUG00000029379.1)
Source: RNAcentral